UGGGGAAUAUUGCACAAUGGGCGCAAGCCUGAUGCAGCCAUGCCGCGUGUGUGAAGAAGGCCUUCGGGUUGUAAAGUACUUUCAGUCGGGAGGAAGGUGUCAAGGUUAAUAACCUUGGCAAUUGACGUUACCGACAGAAGAAGCACCGGCUAACUCCGUGCCAGCAGCCGCGGUAAUACGGAGGGUGCAAGCGUUAAUCGGAAUUACUGGGCGUAAAGCGCACGCAGGCGGUUGAUUGAGUCAGAUGUGAAAUCCCCGGGCUUAACCCGGGAAUUGCAUCUGAUACUGGUCAGCUAGAGUCUUGUAGAGGGGGGUAGAAUUCCAUGUGUAGCGGUGAAAUGCGUAGAGAUGUGGAGGAAUACCGGUGGCGAAGGCGGCCCCCUGGACGAAGACUGACGCUCAGGUGCGAAAGCGUGGGGAGCAAACAGG
This 429-nucleotide ribosomal RNA is filed under the name Chloroflexota bacterium. RNAcentral describes it as "Chloroflexi bacterium partial 16S ribosomal RNA". It matches the Rfam family "Bacterial small subunit ribosomal RNA", at positions 355 to 776 of the family's 1533-position model. Lineage: Bacteria; Bacillati; Chloroflexota. The record is from RNAcentral.